UAUGCUUCUUGGUCUUUUGGAUAAGAUCAAGAGUAGUAUCUGCUUUAAUCAGGUUAGUAUCUGAUCAGUCCUUGAUUUGAAGAUGAUGUAAUAAACAGAUUUUGGGAGCAGGGAGCUGGGUCAGAAUCUUCCUCUGUCCUCACCACUUAAUGGCCUGGUAAUACAGUACUUCCAGGGUAGGUAUCUUUACC
Ornithorhynchus anatinus (platypus) is the source of this 191-nucleotide small nuclear RNA. RefSeq annotates it as U2 spliceosomal RNA. NCBI's taxonomy places the organism in Eukaryota, Metazoa, Chordata, Mammalia, Monotremata, Ornithorhynchidae. The record is from RefSeq and is a predicted model, not a curated record. The transcript has a single exon.